GAUGAACGCUAGCGACAGGCCUAACACAUGCAAGUCGAGGGGCAGCACAUGAGUAGCAAUACGAUGGUGGCGACCGGCGCACGGGUGAGUAACACGUAUGCAACCUACCUGUAAGAGGGGAAUAACCCGGAGAAAUUCGGACUAACACCGCAUAAUACCUCGAAGCUGCAUGGCUUUGAGGUUAAAUAUUUAUAGCUUACAGAUGGGCAUGCGUAGCAUUAGAUAGUUGGUGAGGUAACGGCUCACCAAGUCAACGAUGUUUAGGGGUUCUGAGAGGAAGGUCCCCCACACUGGUACUGAGACACGGACCAGACUCCUACGGGAGCAGCAGUGAGGAAUAUUGGUCAAUGGGCGAGAGCCUGAACCAGCCAAGUCGCGUGAAGGAANAAGGUUCUAUGGAUUGUAAACUUCUUUUGUAAGGGAUAAAAAGNGUUACGUGUAACUUAUUGUAUGUACUUUACGAAUAAGGAUCGGCUAACUCGUGCCAGCAGCCG
This 494-nucleotide ribosomal RNA is filed under the name uncultured bacterium. Its description in RNAcentral is "bacterial SSU rRNA". It matches the Rfam family "Bacterial small subunit ribosomal RNA", at positions 28 to 517 of the family's 1533-position model. The record is from RNAcentral.